Ficedula albicollis (Collared flycatcher) is the source of this 555-nucleotide non-coding RNA. The record is from the annotation of a RefSeq genome assembly. NCBI's taxonomy places the organism in Eukaryota, Metazoa, Chordata, Aves, Passeriformes, Muscicapidae.
AUGGUCAGCGUCACCGAGCUCUGCCCGUUGUCCCUGGAGAUCCUGAACCGGCCCUUGACCGAUGCCCCGCCCGGAUCCGGCGCCUCAUCCCCAUCUCCCCUUGUUCCCGCAGGGCUCCGGGCGGCCGUGACCCUGCUGGAGUGCGGGGGGGACCUCCAGCCCCCCGGGGGGUCCCUGACUCUGCUCUGCCGCGCCUCGGGGUUCAGUUUUGGGAGUCACUGGAUGGCCUGGUUCCGUCAGAGCCCCGGGAAGGGGCUGGAAUUUGCUGCAGGGAUCAACCCCGAUGGUGCAGACACCCGCUACGCGCCGUCAGUCAAGGGCCGCGUCACAAUUUCCAGGGACAACGGGCAGAGCUCGGUGACGCUGACCAUGAACAGCCUCAAGGACGAGGAUUCUGGCGUUUAUUUCUGCGCCAAACAUGCUGCUGGUGGUGCUGGCUGGGCUGUUGCCGCCUUUGUUGAUGGUUUUGUCCCCAUCCCUCUCAUUGUGUCCCCACCCGUCCUCGAAUGUCCCCAGACCCUUCCCCCAGAUCACAACCUUUGUCUCCGACCCUGA